UACGAAGGGGGCUAGCGUUGUUCGGAAUCACUGGGCGUAAAGCGCACGUAGGCGGAUGUGUCAGUCAGGGGUGAAAUCCCGGGGCUCAACCUCGGAACUGCCUUUGAUACAGCACGUCUCGAGUCCGGAAGAGGUGGGUGGAAUUCCUAGUGUAGAGGUGAAAUUCGUAGAUAUUAGGAAGAACACCGGUGGCGAAGGCGGCCCACUGGAUCGGUACUGACGCUGAGGUGCGAAAGCGUGGGGAGCAAACAGG
This 253-nucleotide ribosomal RNA is filed under the name uncultured bacterium. RNAcentral describes it as "partial 16S ribosomal RNA". It matches the Rfam family "Bacterial small subunit ribosomal RNA", at positions 524 to 776 of the family's 1533-position model. The record is from RNAcentral.